AACAGGGAUUGCCCUAGUAACGGCGAGUGAAGCGGCAACAGCUCAAAUUUGAAAUCUGGCCCUAGGCCCGAGUUGUAAUUUGCAGAGGAUGCUUCUGGUGACGUGCCUUCGGAGUCCCCUGGAACGGGGCGCCAUAGAGGGUGAGAGCCCCGUAUCGUUGUGCACCGAGCCUCUGUGUAGCACCUUCGACGAGUCGAGUAGUUUGGGAAUGCUGCUCAAAAUGGGAGGUAAACUUCUUCUAAAGCUAAAUACCGGCCAGAGACCGAUAGCGCACAAGUAGAGUGAUCGAAAGAUGAAAAGCACUUUGAAAAGAGGGUUAAACAGUACGUGAAACAAUUGAAAAGGAAGCACUUGUGACCAGACUUGUGCUGUAUGAAUCAUCUCGCGUUUUCGCGGGUGCACUUUGUACGGUUCAGGCCAGCAUCGGUUUUUCCAGGGGGACAAAAGCUUAGGGAACGUGGCUCUCUCGGGAGUGUUAUAGCCCUUUGCACAAUACCUUUGGAGAGACCGAGGUUCGCGCUCUGCAAGGAUGCUGGCGUAAUGGUCAUCAGUGGCCCGUCUUGAAACACGGACCAAGGAGUCAAGCAUUAGGGCGAGUGUUUGGGUGUAAAACCCGCACGCGUAAUGAAAGUGAACGUAGGUGAGAGCUUCGGCGCAUCAUCGACCGAUCCUGAUGUAUUCGGAUGGAUUUGAGUAAGAGCCUUACCGCUUGGACCCGAAAGAUGGUGAACUAUGCUUGUAUAGGGUGAAGCCAGAGGAAACUCUGGUGGAGGCUCGCAGCGGUUCUGACGUGCAAAUCGAUCGUCAAAUAUGAGCAUGGGGGCGAAAGACUA
Molecule: ribosomal RNA, 833 nt
Filed under: Atractospora ellipsoidea
Lineage: Eukaryota; Fungi; Ascomycota; Sordariomycetes; Atractosporales; Atractosporaceae
Description: partial large subunit ribosomal RNA
Rfam family: Eukaryotic large subunit ribosomal RNA
Source: RNAcentral